This 844-nucleotide ribosomal RNA is filed under the name Xyloctonus quadridens. Its description in RNAcentral is "partial large subunit ribosomal RNA". It matches the Rfam family "Eukaryotic large subunit ribosomal RNA", at positions 406 to 944 of the family's 3401-position model. Lineage: Eukaryota; Metazoa; Arthropoda; Insecta; Coleoptera; Curculionidae. The record is from RNAcentral.
CGUUUAGGGGUAAACCUGAGAAACCCGAAAGGUCGAAGGGAGAAAUUCAUUCGUGUUUCGUUCGUAGGCAUCAAAUGGAUUGAUUUUAUUUUGUGACGGAUGAGAAUUUUUCGGAAUUCUUAUUUGCACCGUCCAUUUGUUUGUGAGCCGACGACGAAUGCGUGCACUUUUCUCCUGGUAGGACAUCGCGAUCCGUCGAGUAUCGGUUUAUGGCUUAACGGUGGAGAUCAUUUGUUUGUAUUUUUGCGAAUGCAAAUUGAAUGAACCCGUUUUUUCUAACCGAUUUGCUUAACGGUAUCAAAUAAGGUUGUGAUUUAAAAUUAUCGGUCGCUAUUUAAAAGCGUUCGACUUGUUGCAAGCGCACCAAUUGUUUAAUUGAAAAUCGGGCCUAGUACCGAUUUCGAUCUUUGGUGACUGUUGGCAAUAAUGUUCUUGAACGGGCCGUCGUCGAUAACAACACAUAAAACCAAUCAGCGAUGCUAUAGCUUUGGGUAAUUUCAGGACCCGUCUUGAAACACGGACCAAGGAGUCUAGCAUGUACGCAAGUCAUUGGGACUUUGUACUAAACCUAAAGGCAUAAUGAAAGUAAACGAUUUUUCUUUUGAAAAAUUAUGGAAAGACAAGUGUGUUCCUAUUUAUAGGACACAUUUUGCAUUUCCGGGGCGUCUCAUUCUCAUUGCGAGUAGAGGCGCACCAAGAGCGUACACGCUGGGACCCGAAAGAUGGUGAACUAUGCCUGGUCAGGAUGAAGUCAGGGGAAACCCUGAUGGAGGUCCGUAGCGAUUCUGACGUGCAAAUCGAUCGUCGGAACUGGGUAUAGGGGCGAAAGACUAAUCGAACCAUC